UACGUAGGGCGCAAGCGUUAUCCGGAAUUAUUGGGCGUAAAGAGCUCGUAGGUGGUUUGUCGCGUUGUUCGUGAAAACUCACAGCUUAACUGUGGGCGUGCGGGCGAUACGGGCAGACUUGAGUACUGCAGGGGAGACUGGAAUUCCUGGUGUAGCGGUGGAAUGCGCAGAUAUCAGGAGGAACACCGGUGGCGAAGGCGGGUCUCUGGGCAGUAACUGACGCUGAGGAGCGAAAGUGUGGGGAGCGAACAGG
RNAcentral lists this ribosomal RNA (253 nucleotides) under uncultured bacterium. Its description in RNAcentral is "partial 16S ribosomal RNA". It matches the Rfam family "Bacterial small subunit ribosomal RNA", at positions 524 to 776 of the family's 1533-position model. The record is from RNAcentral.